Long non-coding RNA from Oncorhynchus tshawytscha (Chinook salmon), 3407 nucleotides. The record is from Ensembl. Lineage: Eukaryota; Metazoa; Chordata; Actinopteri; Salmoniformes; Salmonidae.
ACACACACACACCACACACCCCACACACACACACACACACACACACACACACACACACCAUAGACACCUUUCAUCUCAGAAUGUAGAGAAUAUUGCAGAAGGCAGGCAGUGGGGAAUAUGUUCUGCCAACAGGAGGGUUUUGAUGUUGUUUUUGUGUGAGUCUGACAAGCAAUCAAAAGGCAAAAAGAGUGUAUACGUUAUCACUUACAUCCAAACUUGGCACAGGACAAAAUGUCAUAUUCUCUCACUGCUCUUACAAGCGAUCAUGUGACACAGUGCCAUUGUCGACUGGCAUGUGUCUACUUUCAUGCACAUGCAUAGUGCAGACUUCCUUACCAGCUUCCCCAAUCUAAUGGAACCACACCGUUAACAGAACAACCCGGUGUGGUUGCGGCAGUACCACUCCUCUCUCCUUCUCUAGCCCACUGUUCUCUGUGUCAGUACUGUCCACUCGACUAUCAGACGUGCUGAGAUGUGCCGGCGUUGGAAGACGUAUUACAGGGUUAAAUGUUGCAUAGCGUUUUGGUUACUGCGGCGAGGAUCGGUCCCGGAGCAGCACUCUCAGAUGGUCCGCCAUCGGGACGGGGAAAUAUCGUCUGAGGGCACGGUUCCUGAAACCGCAGCGCCGUUUCUCACUGCAAAUGGAGGAAUGGAGACGAAAACCGCAAGCCUGCAGCUGUUCAGCUGGAAGAGAAAGGACACUUUUCUCAGUUUUAAAGGCAAAGUGUGUCAAAUGGAGGCUUUUACGUCCAAAGUCUAAGAGCUCUGCUUCCUUAACCACACUUAGGGGUCUAUUCAAUCAGACAUCCACAUAGCUGUUGUUUUGGCUAGUCGGAGGUGGAACUGGGUUAGAGCCUUCAAAUCGACAAGUGGCUCCUGGCAUUACACCUAAAGCGGACAUUGCCAUUAACUGCACGGAGUUGCAUUAAGGGAAAUCCCAUGCAUCCCAAACAAGUUCAAACACUGGAAUGUGAGAUGUAAUCUACACCUCCAUUAGCCUGAUCCUCUUUUCAUUUAAUGAUUUUCAAUUUGAGCGUCAUUAUUUCUAUAUAUCCUACACUUUCUCCUUCUGAACUUCUAACGUGAGUGGGACGGGUGUGGCUUCGUGACAAUGAUCAAAAGCAGCUGCUCACUGAUUUUGACAGCUCCAACACAGUUCACCUCCGACACCGCCAAAACGCUAGCUAGGUGGGUGUCGGCUAUUGCAGGUUAAGCUUGAUCUGAUUGAAUCUAUGCCAACGUUACAUAAACCUUUUUCGAUUAGCCUGAUAAUAAAUCUUUCCAUGGAUUUGAUGUUCUUACGCCACAUGUCACGGGGAGACACUGGCGGAGUGUGGACACUGGAGGAGUGUGGACACUGGAGGAGUGUGGACACGGGAGGAGUGUGGACACGGGAGGAGUGUGGACACGGGAGGAGUGUGGACACUGGAGGAGUGUGGACAUGGGAGGAGUGUGGACACUGGAGGAGUGUGGACACGGAAGGAGUGUGGACACGGAAGGAGUGUGGACACUGGAGGAGUGUGGACACGGAAGGAGAGUGGACACGGAAGGAGUGUGGACACGGAAGGAGUGUGGACACGGAAGGAGUGUGGACACGGAAGGAGUGUGGACACUGGAGGAGUGUGGACACGGAAGGAGUGUGGACACUGGAGGAGUGUGGACACGGAAGGAGUGUGGACACUGGAGGAGUGUGGACACGGAAGGAGUGUGGACACGGGAGGAGUGUGAACACUGGAGGAGUGUGGACACUGGAGGAGUGUGGACACGGGAGGAGUGUGGACACUGGAGGAGUGUGGACACGGGAGGAGUGUGGACACUGGAGGAGUGUGGACACUGGAGGAGUGUGGACACUGGAAGAGUGUGGACACUGGAGGAGUGUGGACACUGGAAGAGUGUGGACACGGAAGGAGUGUGGACACUGGAGGAGUGUGGACACUGGAGGAGUGUGGACACUGGAGGAGUGUGGACACUGGAGGAGUGUGGACACGGCAGGAGUGUGGACACUGGAGGAGUGUGGACACGGGAGGAGUGUGGACACUGGAGGAGUGUGGACAUGGGAGGAGUGUGGACACUGGAGGAGUGUGGACACUGGAGGAGUGUGGACACUGGAGGAGUGUGGACACGGGAGGAGUGUGGACACAGGAGGAGUGUGGACACUGGAGGAGUGUGGACACUGGAGGAAAUGGGGAUAUUGGAUUUUAGAAAGAGAUAAUAGCCAGCAUGUUAUCCAAUCUGUGUAGUAUAUUUGGCCAUACAUUGGAAAAUAUACAGUACUUAUAUUUGGGACCUCACGUCCUACCACAAAUUGACAUGUAUCCAGGCCUCAGCGAGGUCAUAGAUAAUACGAUGCAGUCCAGACAGUCUGGCGGUUUAGGAUUCCAUCUCUUCCUAAUGAUUGGCCUAAUUCAUGUGUAUAUUCUAUGUUAUUAUCGUCCUCUCGUCUGGAUGAACCGAAUCUCAUCCUCUAUUUAUUGACAUGACUCUGCUUUCUCUUCCUGUCCUUCCCUCUCUUGGUUCCAGCGCAUGCCCGGCGCAUGUUAAAGACCAAGAUGAAAGGGGGAUAUAUGUUUGGUCAUGCUCCAUAACUGACAGAAUAAAACAAACAGACUAUCUACUCCUUGUCUAAACCAUCCUUUGCCAGACCUGUUUCAGCUGUGUGUGUGUGUGUGUGUGUGUGUGUGUGUGUGUGUGUGUGUGUGUGUGUGUGUGUGUGCGUGCGUGCGUGCGUGCAUUAGAGCUCUGCAGACAGUCCCAAUCCUCCAACCCCCAUCUUCUUGUGUGGGAUUUGCCUCCUUUAAGGCUGGUUAGCAGGCUUCAAUCAGACUAAUCCAAAUUCCCUAUCCACCCAGCACAUGGCAGACUAUCAGAUUCACUGUGAUAACAUCACAUACAGUAGGAUGGUUAUACAGUGUUUUGACUCUUCUGCAAACACGGGCUCCAGUUUGCACAUACUUCAGCUGACUUCCUCAAGUGGUUAGUUUGGUCAGCACGGCGCCCAACAUACCUGUAACUAAACACACACAUUCUCAAAAACCUCUGAUGAUGAGUUUAGGUGUGUGUGAGUGGUUUGGUUUGACUAUCCUUGUGUGUACCAGAAGUCCUCACAAGGAUAGUAAAACAAGGAAAAUUCGAACAAGUGGGGACAUUUUGCCAAUCCCCAUAAGGAAAAAGGCUUUUUUAGGGUUAGGGUUACAAUUAGGGUAGGGGUUAGAAUUAAGGAUAGGGUCAGGGGUUAGGUUUAGGGUUAGCAGUUAGCAGUUAGGAUUAGGUUUAGUUUUAGUGUUAGGAGUUUGGGAUUAGGGUUAAGGUUAAGGUUAGGUUAAGGGUUAGGGUUAGGUCCUGUGGGGAAAAUAGAUUUUUGGGUCCCCACAAGGAUAGUAAAACAAAUGUGUGUGUGUGUGAGAGAG